This 492-nucleotide ribosomal RNA is filed under the name uncultured bacterium. RNAcentral's name for it is "partial 16S ribosomal RNA". It matches the Rfam family "Bacterial small subunit ribosomal RNA", at positions 29 to 507 of the family's 1533-position model. The record is from RNAcentral.
AGUGAACGCUGGCGGUAGGCCUAACACAUGCAAGUCGAACGGCAGCACAGUAAGAGCUUGCUCUUACGGGUGGCGAGUGGCGGACGGGUGAGGAAUAAAUCGGAAUCUACUUUUUCGUGGGGGAUAACGUAGGGAAACUUACGCUAAUACCGCAUACGACCUACGGGUGAAAGCAGUGGAUCUUCGGACCUUGCGCGAUUGAAUGAGCCGAUGUCGGAUUAGCUAGUUGGCGGGGUAAAGGCCCACCAAGGCGACGAUCCGUAGCUGGUCUGAGAGGAUGAUCAGCCACACUGGAACUGAGACACGGUCCAGACUCCUACGGGAGGCAGCAGUGGGGAAUAUUGGACAAUGGGCGCAAGCCUGAUCCAGCCAUACCGCGUGGGUGAAGAAGGCCUUCGGGUUGUAAAGCCCUUUUGUUGGGAAAGAAAAGCAGCAGGUUAAUACCCCGCUGUUCUGACGGUACCCAAAGAAUAAGCACCGGCUAACUUCGUG